This is a long non-coding RNA of Drosophila rhopaloa, 772 nucleotides long. RefSeq lists it as uncharacterized. The record is from RefSeq and is a predicted model, not a curated record. Lineage: Eukaryota; Metazoa; Arthropoda; Insecta; Diptera; Drosophilidae. The transcript has 4 exons.
UAUUUUUAGUUUCGCUUGUAGUCUCAUCGGGGUAACAGCUCUCGGCCUAAGGUAAAAAUUCAAAUUUUCAUUCAAAUUUUUUUUGUGAUUUACGGAAAUGUUUUUAGGGUCGGCAAAACGCAUUUACCUGUAGAAUAGCCCCUGGAUUUAAUGUAACGAGUCCUAAGCUAAAUUCUAAUACACAGUGAAAAUAGACAACACUACACUAAAAAAAAAUGUAAAAAAAAAACGACACGCACGCAGACACAUUAUACAACUACAUACCUACAAGAAACACUAACGAAUUUAUAGGCGGCCAUAACUCAAGAUACCGAUUGAUGAUGAGUAAAUGCACGAAUCGUUUACUAUGACUUUAUUCAAAUUAAUAUACUGACGUGGGAACUGUAACAUACACAUACACAAGUUGGAUAUGCUAUUUUAACACAAAACAAGUAAUCGCUUCAUGACAUAUCGCCAAUUCAAAUUACAAUUAAGGAUACAACAACUCGGAGACGCGCAACAUUAAUCGCAUUGUAACACUUCGGAAUAGAUGUCAACAGAUUUAGGACUUCGUUCGUUAUCCAGAGGAAUGGCUAUUCCAGGUAUUUCACUCUCUACUGGGGGCUGCGCGAUUGUGGUUGGUGUAUUUACAGGAGAUUCAUAACGUUAAUGACUAGAUGUGUGGUAGUUCAACAGAAUACUCUAUUGUACACGAUUUUACUUGGAAAAAUGUUGGUCUAUGUUGUCCAUAGAAAGAAGAAAAUAAACUUAUAGAAACUUUUUUUAAAUUAAA